Molecule: ribosomal RNA, 402 nt
Filed under: uncultured bacterium
Lineage: Bacteria
Description: bacterial SSU rRNA
Rfam family: Bacterial small subunit ribosomal RNA
Source: RNAcentral
UGGGGAAUAUUGGGCAAUGGGGGAAACCCUGACCCAGCAACGCCGCGUGAAGGAAGAAGGUCUUCGGAUCGUAAACUUCUAUCCUUGGUGAAGAUAAUGACGGUAGCCGAGAAGGAAGCCCCGGCUAACUACGUGCCAGCAGCCGCGGUAAUACGUAGGGGGCAAGCGUUGUCCGGAAUGAUUGGGCGUAAAGGGCGCGUAGGCGGCCUGGUAAGUCUGGAGUGAAAGUCCUGCUUUUAAGGUGGGAAUUGCUUUGGAUACUGCUGGGCUUGAGUGCAGGAGAGGUAAGUGGAAUUCCCGGUGUAGGGGUGAAAUGCGUAGAGAUCGGGAGGAACACCAGUGGCGAAGGCGACUUAAUGGACUGUAACUGACGCUGAGGCGCGAAAGUGUGGGGAGCAAACA